UACGGGGGGGGCAAGCGUUGUUCGGAAUUACUGGGCGUAAAGGGCUCGUAGGCGGCCAACUAAGUCAGACGUGAAAUCCCUCGGCUUAACCGGGGAACUGCGUCUGAUACUGGACGGCUUGAGUUCGGGAGAGGGAUGCGGAAUUCCAGGUGUAGCGGUGAAAUGCGUAGAUAUCUGGAGGAACACCGGUGGCGAAGGCGGCAUCCUGGACCGACACUGACACUGAGGGGCGAAAGCCAGGGGAGCAAACGGG
This 253-nucleotide ribosomal RNA is filed under the name uncultured bacterium. RNAcentral's name for it is "partial 16S ribosomal RNA". It matches the Rfam family "Bacterial small subunit ribosomal RNA", at positions 524 to 776 of the family's 1533-position model. The record is from RNAcentral.